This 694-nucleotide long non-coding RNA is filed under the name Mytilus galloprovincialis (Mediterranean mussel). The record is from RNAcentral. Lineage: Eukaryota; Metazoa; Mollusca; Bivalvia; Mytilida; Mytilidae.
CAGAAAACAAAAUCUUUAGAUGUAUAUACUGUAUUUAAAACAGAAUUCAUGUACAGCUACAAAAUGCAGGCAACUAGUAAACAUACUAAGAAUAAAUGUCUACUUGAUAAAGUUGUCAAAUUGUUGUAAUAAUUUUUAUGUUUGCAAAUGUAUAAUCUAGCAAAAAAUAAGAAUAGAAAAAGAUAAAUAAUUUAAAAUGUCCAGAUCAGGAACUGAUUUCGAGAAAUAAUUUCACCUUUCACCGAUAAGCGUGGAGAUAACGGUAUUGCUCUCCACUUUUUUAUCGUUAAAAAAAUGGGGAAAAAAUUAAUUACAUUCUAUUUUUAUCAGAAUCGAUACACAUAUAUUGUAAUAUUUGUUUAUACAUACCUGUGAAUUGCUUAUAUUAAUCAUAAAUCAUUAUUAAAACUGGUAUUUCCAAACCAGGAAGAGAUAUCAAUUCAAUAAUAGGAAACCGAUAACGGCAAGUGUGAAUUAUUUCCGGAAACUUUUUAUUUCUAAACAGACUAGAUAUACAUAUUGAUAAAUUAGAAUUUCAUAUAUAAUUAUUUAUUUUACGGUUGAAAAUGAAUUAUAUACACUAUAGUCUAGAUAAAUUGUACUUUAUCAUUGUUACACAGAGAGAAAUGAUAUUAAAAUGCAGAUACUCUUCACUAGGAGGCUGGACUAGUGGAGUCAAUUGUUAACAGCAAGC